AUGAACGCUGGCGGCGUGCCUAAUCCAUGCAAGUCGAGCGAACAGACGAGGAGCUUGCUCCUCUGACGUUAGCGGCGGACGGGUGAGUAACCCGUGGAUAACCUACCUAUAAGACUGGGAUAACUUCGGGAAACCGGAGCUAAUACCGGAUAAUAUAUUGAACCGCAUGGUUCAAUAGUGAAAGACGGUUUUGCUGUCACUUAUAGAUGGAUCCGCGCCGCAUUAGCUAGUUGGUAAGGUAACGGCUUACCAAGGCAACGAUGCGUAGCCGACCUGAGAGGGUGAUCGGCCACACUGGAACUGAGACACGGUCCAGACUCCUACGGGAGGCAGCAGUAGGGAAUCUUCCGCAAUGGGCGAAAGCUUGACGGAGCAACGCCGCGUGAGUGAUGAAGGUCUUCGGAUCGUAAAACUCUGUUAUUAGGGAAGAACAAAUGUGUAAGUAACUAUGCACGUCUUGACGGUACCUAAUCAGAAAGCCACGGCUAACUACGUG
RNAcentral lists this ribosomal RNA (496 nucleotides) under uncultured bacterium. RNAcentral describes it as "partial 16S ribosomal RNA". It matches the Rfam family "Bacterial small subunit ribosomal RNA", at positions 29 to 507 of the family's 1533-position model. The record is from RNAcentral.